This 114-nucleotide ribosomal RNA is filed under the name Chinchilla lanigera (long-tailed chinchilla). The record is from RNAcentral. Lineage: Eukaryota; Metazoa; Chordata; Mammalia; Rodentia; Chinchillidae.
GUCUACAGCCAUACCUCCCCGAACACGCCUGAUCUUGUCUGAUCCCGGAAGCUGAGCAGGGUCGGGCCUGGUUAGUACUUGGUUGGGAGACUGAUUGAACUUACUGGGUAGACA